RNAcentral lists this ribosomal RNA (465 nucleotides) under uncultured Klebsiella sp. Its description in RNAcentral is "bacterial SSU rRNA". It matches the Rfam family "Bacterial small subunit ribosomal RNA", at positions 338 to 795 of the family's 1533-position model. The record is from RNAcentral. Lineage: Bacteria; Pseudomonadati; Pseudomonadota; Gammaproteobacteria; Enterobacterales; Enterobacteriaceae.
CCUACGGGGGGCAGCAGUGGGGAAUAUUGCACAAUGGGCGCAAGCCUGAUGCAGCCAUGCCGCGUGUGUGAAGAAGGCCUUCGGGUUGUAAAGCACUUUCAGCGGGGAGGAAGGCGGUGAGGUUAAUAACCUCAUCGAUUGACGUUACCCGCAGAAGAAGCACCGGCUAACUCCGUGCCAGCAGCCGCGGUAAUACGGAGGGUGCAAGCGUUAAUCGGAAUUACUGGGCGUAAAGCGCACGCAGGCGGUCUGUCAAGUCGGAUGUGAAAUCCCCGGGCUCAACCUGGGAACUGCAUUCGAAACUGGCAGGCUAGAGUCUUGUAGAGGGGGGUAGAAGUCCAGGUGUAGCGGUGAAAUGCGUAGAGAUCUGGAGGAAUACCGGUGGCGAAGGCGGCCCCCUGGACAAAGACUGACGCUCAGGUGCGAAAGCGUGGGGAGCAAACAGGAUUAGAUACCCUAGUAGUC